UUUAUGUAAAAUUACUGAAAAAAGUUGUAUUUAGCAUGUUAAAGGUGAUACAGAGGCCAAAACUGUAAAUACCCACAUCAAAAGACUAUUUUUUUUUUACAAAAAAUGACAACAAAUGUCCAAAAUUUCCAAAAUGUUUGAAGAUGUUUACUGGAUGUUUAUUAGAUGUUUACUGGUUAUUUACUAGAUGUUUACUGGUUAUUUACUGGAUGUUUAUUGGAUGUUUACUGGAUAUUUACUGGGACUAACACUAAUGUUUACUAGAUAUUUACUGGAUGUUUACUGGAUGUUUACUGAAUCUUUUUGGGAUCUUUACUGGGUGCUUCCUGGAUGUUUGCUGGAUGUUUACUAAAUGUCUACUAGAUGUUUACCAGAUAUUUACUGGAUGUGACUGGAUGGGACUAACACUAAUGUUUCCUGGAUAUUUAUUAGAUGUUUCCUGGAUGUUUCCUGGUUAUUUACUGGUUAUUUACUGGAUGUUUACUGGGACUAACACUAAUGUUUCCUGGAUGUUUACUGCUCCUAAUGCUCUUGUUUACACCCACUCAGGACGUUAACAGCCGUAUUGCGUGUGCAGCAACACGUCUCUUUGUUUGCGUGUUCUCCUGGCAUAUUUACAUGCGACACGCAGGAGGCGGUUUGAUGUGCAGAACAUGUUUAAUAUUCCAUCACACGGCAGCAGAGGGAGGCUCAGGAGACGCUAAAGAGCCGAAACAACAAAAGGUUUGGAGGUACCGGAGAGCGUCUGCUGGAGCUUCUGUCUGCUAGCAUCACAUCCACCAGACGCAUUACCGUCUGAACGUUAAAUAUUUAACACUCUGCUGCUGCUGCUGGAGCUCAACACGAACACAAACCAGACGGACCAGACGGACACCUCAACCACAGACAGCAGAGGUCCCAUGGACCCACCCACCAAUCAUCGGCCUCCAGAGAAUCCAACCAGACGUUUACAUGAAGCCGUCUGGAGGCCAAGGCUGCAAGUCAGACAAAGAGCUGUGAGGUGUAAACGUCAGAGCAUCUCACUCAGAUCUGCUGCUGAAGAAUCGACCUGGAGGAGGAAAGAAAAAUAACGAGGAGGAGAAAAUGUCAGGAGACCAGCCCUCAGAACAUCUGGACCUGACUCCAGAUGUUUCUAUGAUCCAUCGUCAUGUGGAGGAUCGUCAUGGUGACCAGAGGAGGGUCUGUGGUUACCGUGGUUACCACCCAGAUGUGUUCUGUCACGUUUUUACUCACCGUGGAAUCCUUUCUACUGGAACAUUCAGUCCUGUCUUAGUUUAGACUAAGUCUGGAGAUGUUCAUGUCAUUAAGGACACAUUUAAGUCCUUCUGGACAAAUUUUGAAUCAUUUUAGACAAUUUCUCAUCAUUCUGGACAACCUUGCUUUCCAUCUUUAACAUUAACGGGGUUGUUUUUACUCACUGUGGAAUCGUUUUUACUGGAAUAUAAAGUCCUGCUUUCAUUUUGGCCA
This is a long non-coding RNA of Acanthochromis polyacanthus (spiny chromis), 1467 nucleotides long. RefSeq lists it as uncharacterized. The record is from RefSeq and is a predicted model, not a curated record. The transcript is spliced from 2 exons. Lineage: Eukaryota; Metazoa; Chordata; Actinopteri; Pomacentridae.